This 1789-nucleotide long non-coding RNA is filed under the name Ananas comosus (pineapple). RNAcentral describes it as "long non-coding RNA (ACOM_LNC012616)". Lineage: Eukaryota; Viridiplantae; Streptophyta; Magnoliopsida; Poales; Bromeliaceae. The record is from RNAcentral.
CUUGGCAAAGCGGGCGAGCUUAUAUGUCUUGCUUUGAAUGCUAAUGGACUAAUAUUGACAUCUCCAUUACCGGUUCUGCACUUCAUUCAAUGAAGCUGUAGAUGAGUUAAACUGAGACAUAAUAAAUAUCGAAAACAUAAGACCAUCACUUGAAUUUAAUCAAAAUCUCCUUUCAGAAAGUUCUAAGCUUUACACAUUGUUCAGUCCAUCUUGGCAAAGCGGACGAGCUUAUAUGUCUUGCUUUGAAUGCUAAUGGACUAAUAUUGACAUCUCCAUUACCGGUUCUGCACUUCAUUCAAUGAAGCUGUAGAUGAGUUAAACUGAGACAUAAUAAAUAUCGAAAACAUAAGACCAUCACUUAAAUUUGAUCAAAAUCUCUCCUUUCAGAAAGUUCUAAGCUUUACACAUUGUUCAGUCCAUCUUGGCAAAGCGGACGAGCUUAUAUGUCUUGCUUUGAAUGCUAAUGGACUAAUAUUGACAUCUCCAUUACCGGUUCUGCACUUCAUUCAAUGAAGCUGUAGAUGAGUUAAACUGAGACAUAAUAAAUAUCGAAAACAUAAGACCAUCACUUAAAUUUGAUCAAAAUCUCUCCUUUCAGAAAGUUCUAAGCUUUACACAUUGUUCAGUCCAUCUUGGCAAAGCGGACGAGCUUAUAUGUCUUGCUUUGAAUGCUAAUGGACUAAUAUUGACAUCUCCAUUACCGGUUCUGCACUUCAUUCAAUGAAGCUGUAGAUGAGUUAAACUGAGACAUAAUAAAUAUCGAAAACAUAAGACCGUCACUUGAAUUUGAUCAAAAUCUCCUUUCAGAAAGUAUAAUGUUUACCAAAGAGAGAAAUAUCUCUGCUCACCAUUGAAUAACCAUGACCACCCUAAGUAAUUGCAUAGUCCUAGCAAAAGCUCAGUCGGACCCCAGAUAGAUGCGGGAUGCAGACAACUCUUGCACCAUGAGAAAUUGAUUCUUACAACAAAAUAAACUCUAAUCUAACUUUAGGCUGCAUCAGAAACCAAAAGAGGAAAGUGACUAAGGGGAAAAGGUGUGAGGAAAGGGAGGAAUAUUGAGCUAUCGCUGCUCUAGCUGCUGCAAUGCGUAAAACGGUAUAUAACAAAAUUCGCUUUGCUACAUGCUAGCCUGCUAGUUCUUUGUUUUUGUAAUUUGUAAGGUAAGAGUAGGACUAAUUUUUCUACCGUUCUACUAAAAGGAGUACUUUUGUAAAUGUCGUUUCAUUUGUUUUUCUUUUGGGUUAAAAGUGUGAGUAGUGCCUGAACAUUGCAGGAGUAGUGAUCUGGUCUCUCAAACAUACGGAGUCCUAGUUGCAUUUUCUAUCCAAAAUUCGUAAUGUUUAAACGGUGCCCAACUUGUCGUAUGGAGUGAUCUUUUUAUCCCACAUUUGUCCAAAAUGAAUUGCCAGAUAAUUUAGGGAUAGAAUCAUAAGAUGGUAUCAAUUACAUUUAUAGGAGUUGGCAUCGAGAAAUUUUGAUGGAGAGUGCAUCCAGGGAUGAUUAGUAUGAACUAGACCUAAACUUAAUGCCCAAAUUUGACUCACUAGACCUAAUCACAACUCAAUUAUGGACUAUUGCCUGCACUCCUUUCGGAAACAAUAAAAAAACUCGAUUACAGGCUGCAUUUACUUCCAUUUGAUUUGUGUAGUAACUAAUCUAAUUAAAUUGUACUGUGUCGAAGAACUAAAUUGUUUUGAAACAACCAUUUGUGUUUUCUGACUUUGUAGCCAAAUUACUUCAAGUGCUCAUAAUUAUUGGGCCAUUUGUUAUAUUUUUCUGUUUCAUGCAG